UACGUAGGGGGCAAGCGUUGUCCGGAUUUAUUGGGCGUAAAGAGCGUGUAGGCGGCUAGAUAGGUCCGUUGUGAAAACUCGAGGCUCAACCUCGAGACGCCGGUGGAAACCAUCUAGCUAGAGUCCGGAAGAGGAGAGUGGAAUUCCUGGUGUAGCGGUGAAAUGCGCAGAUAUCAGGAAGAACACCCGUGGCGAAGGCGGCUCUCUGGGACGUGACUGACGCUGAGACGCGAAAGCGUGGGGAGCAAACAGG
RNAcentral lists this ribosomal RNA (253 nucleotides) under uncultured bacterium. Its description in RNAcentral is "partial 16S ribosomal RNA". It matches the Rfam family "Bacterial small subunit ribosomal RNA", at positions 524 to 776 of the family's 1533-position model. The record is from RNAcentral.